This 650-nucleotide ribosomal RNA is filed under the name Clostridioides difficile. Its description in RNAcentral is "bacterial SSU rRNA". It matches the Rfam family "Bacterial small subunit ribosomal RNA", at positions 891 to 1533 of the family's 1533-position model. Lineage: Bacteria; Bacillati; Bacillota; Clostridia; Peptostreptococcales; Peptostreptococcaceae. The record is from RNAcentral.
AGAGUGAAACUCAAAGGAAUUGACGGGGACCCGCACAAGUAGCGGAGCAUGUGGUUUAAUUCGAAGCAACGCGAAGAACCUUACCUAAGCUUGACAUCCCAAUGACAUCUCCUUAAUCGGAGAGUUCCCUUCGGGGACAUUGGUGACAGGUGGUGCAUGGUUGUCGUCAGCUCGUGUCGUGAGAUGUUGGGUUAAGUCCCGCAACGAGCGCAACCCUUGUCUUUAGUUGCCAUCAUUAAGUUGGGCACUCUAGAGAGACUGCCAGGGAUAACCUGGAGGAAGGUGGGGAUGACGUCAAAUCAUCAUGCCCCUUAUGCUUAGGGCUACACACGUGCUACAAUGGGUAGUACAGAGGGUUGCCAAGCCGUAAGGCGGAGCUAAUCCCUUAAAGCUACUCUCAGUUCGGAUUGUAGGCUGAAACUCGCCUACAUGAAGCUGGAGUUACUAGUAAUCGCAGAUCAGAAUGCUGCGGUGAAUGCGUUCCCGGGUCUUGUACACACCGCCCGUCACACCACGGGAGUUGGAGACGCCCGAAGCCGAUUAUCUAACCUUUUGGAAGAAGUCGUCGAAGGUGGAAUCAAUAACUGGGGUGAAGUCGUAACAAGGUAGCCGUAUCGGAAGGUGCGGCUGGAUCACCUCCUUUCUAAGGA